AGGAAUGUAGCUCAGUGGUAGAGCUCCUUUGUAGCAUGUAUGAGACCCUGGGUUUGAUCCCCAGCACAUAUG
RNAcentral lists this transfer RNA (72 nucleotides) under Marmota monax (woodchuck). RNAcentral describes it as "tRNA.Ala". Lineage: Eukaryota; Metazoa; Chordata; Mammalia; Rodentia; Sciuridae. The record is from RNAcentral.